GGACAGCCAUCACCUUCUUUCCAUCUACAUUUAUUUUCACAUUCACAACCACAUUCAAGCUGAGAUGGACUGCCCUGGUAAGGGCAACUGGUGGAAGCUGGAGACAAGAUGGAUAUAUGCUAGAGCUGGCUCAGAGGAGCCAGUGUACUCACUGGAGCAGCAAUCGUGGAAGCCUGAAUCAGAUUACUGGAGCUGGAGAAACAACGACACUGGCAGAAAACAGACAGAAAAGCAGCAAACCCACCCCAUGCUGCUGCCCAGACCCCAGCAGGGACACGAGUGAAGCCCACCUGGAUGCUGCCACUUCUGUUGUCCACACACUCCUGGAGCUCUAGCCCUGCCACCUGUGGGCCUACCUGGCCAGCCAGGACUGGUGUCUAGAGUCAUUCCAGAUGACCCAGGACACCUUCUAGGAGCUCCUCAAGCACCUCUGCCCCUACUUGGAGCAUCUGGCCAGCACCAUGUGGCUGCCCCUCCCCACAGACCCCACAGGUGACCACCUCCCUGUUCAAGCUGGCCACUCCCACCAGCCUACACUUGGUUGACUACCUCUUUGGCAUGGGCAAGGUGGCCAAGGAGGCCAUCAUGAAAGUGUGUGGCACCCUCCAGGACAUGCUGGGGAACACCCUGUUCCAGAUUCAUGACCCUGGUGGUGAUGGCAGUGUUCCAUGCCUUGGGCUUCCCACAGUUCAUCAGGACCCUGGACAGGAAUCACAUCUCCAUUACCUGCCCACCCUAUGUUGACCACCCCACUACAGCUGGCAGGGCUUCCUCUCCAUCAUGCUACAGGCCAUUGUAAACCACUGCAAUGCUUUCACCAAUGUGAGUACCAGCUGGCCAGGCAGUGCCCAUGAUGCCAACAUCUUCUGAAACUCCACUCUGCCAGUGCUGGUAGAGAGCAGGCACUUCACACCAAGGUUGCCAGACCUCAAGCUGGACACAGUGGUCAUCUCACCCCUCCUCACUGUGGACCCAACCUACCCACUCCUGCCCUGCCUCAUGCAGCCCUAC
This is a long non-coding RNA of Alligator sinensis (Chinese alligator), 1011 nucleotides long. RefSeq lists it as uncharacterized. NCBI's taxonomy places the organism in Eukaryota, Metazoa, Chordata, Crocodylia, Alligatoridae. The transcript has 3 exons. The record is from RefSeq and is a predicted model, not a curated record.